AACGAACGCUGGCGGCAUGCCUAACACAUGCAAGUCGAACGAGACCUUCGGGUCUAGUGGCGCACGGGUGCGUAACGCGUGGGAACCUGCCUUUAGGUUCGGAAUAACUCAGAGAAAUUUGAGCUAAUACCGGAUGAUAUCUUCGGACCAAAGAUUUAUCGCCUUUGGAUGGGCCCGCGUUGGAUUAGCUAGUUGGUGGGGUAAAGGCCUACCACGGCGACAAUCCAUAGCUGGUCUGAGAGGAUCAUCAGCCACACUGGGACUGGGACACGGCCCAGACUCCUACGGGAGGCAGCAGUGGGGAAUAUUGGACAAUGGGCGAAAGCCUGAUCCAGCAAGGCUGCGUGAGUGAUGAAGGCCUUAGGGUUGUAAAGCUCUUUUACCCGAGAUGAUAAUGACAGUAUCGGGAGAAUAAGCUCCGGCUAACUCCGUG
RNAcentral lists this ribosomal RNA (433 nucleotides) under uncultured bacterium. Its description in RNAcentral is "partial 16S ribosomal RNA". It matches the Rfam family "Bacterial small subunit ribosomal RNA", at positions 29 to 507 of the family's 1533-position model. The record is from RNAcentral.